GGUCAAGCGAACAAGUGCAUGUGGUGGAUGCCUUGGCGAUCACAGGCGAUGAAGGACGCGGUAGCCUGCGAAAAGCUACGGGGAGCUGGCAAACAAGCUUUGAUCCGUAGAUGUCCGAAUGGGGAAACCCACUCCUUUUGGAGUAUCCAUGGCUGAAUACAUAGGCCAUGUGAAGCGAACGCGGUGAACUGAAACAUCUAAGUAACCGCAGGAAAAGAAAUCAACCGAGAUUCCCAAAGUAGUGGCGAGCGAAAUGGGAUGAGCCUUGUACUCUUUAUUUGUAUUGUUAGCUGAACGCUCUGGAAAGUGCGGCCAUAGCGGGUGAUAGCCCCGUAAGCGAAAACAGUAUGAAAGAACUAAGUGUACGACAAGUAGGGCGGGACACGUGAAAUCCUGUCUGAAGAUGGGGGGACCAUCCUCCAAGGCUAAAUACUCGUGAUCGACCGAUAGUGAACCAGUACCGUGAGGAAAGGCGAAAAGAACCCCGGGAGGGGAGUGAAAUAGAUCCUGAAACCGCAUGCAUACAAACAGUCGGAGCCUCGUAAGGGGUGACGGCGUACCUUUUGUAUAAUGGGUCAGCGACUUACGUUCAGUAGCAAGCUUAACCGUAUAGGGCAGGCGUAGCGAAAGCGAGUCCGAAUAGGGCGUUCAGUUGCUGGGCGUAGACCCGAAACCAAGUGAUCUAUCCAUGGCCAGGAUGAAGGUGCGGUAACACGUACUGGAGGUCCGAACCCACUAACGUUGAAAAGUUAGGGGAUGAGCUGUGGAUAGGGGUGAAAGGCUAAACAAACUUGGAAAUAGCUGGUUCUCUCCGAAAACUAUUUAGGUAGUGCCUCGUGUCUCACCUUCGGGGGUAGAGCACUGUCAUGGUUGGGGGGUCUAUUGCAGAUUACCCCGCCAUAGCAAACUCCGAAUACCGAAGAGUGCAAUCACGGGAGACAGACAUCGGGUGCUAACGUCCGGUGUCAAGAGGGAAACAACCCAGACCGCCAGCUAAGGUCCCCAAAUAUAGCUAAGUGGGAAACGAAGUGGGAAGGCUAAAACAGUCAGGAGGUUGGCUUAGAAGCAGCCACCCUUUAAAGAAAGCGUAAUAGCUCACUGAUCGAGUCGUCCUGCGCGGAAGAUGUAACGGGGCUAAGCUAUAUACCGAAGCUGCGGAUGCGUGCUUUGCACGCAUGGUAGGAGAGCGUUCCGUAAGCCUGCGAAGGUGCGUUGAAAAGCGUGCUGGAGGUAUCGGAAGUGCGAAUGCUGACAUGAGUAGCGAUAAAGGGGGUGAAAGGCCCCCUCGCCGUAAGCCCAAGGUUUCCUACGCAACGUUCAUCGGCGUAGGGUGAGUCGGCCCCUAAGGCGAGGCAGAAAUGCGUAGCUGAUGGGAAGCAGGUCAAUAUUCCUGCACCAUUGUUAGAUGCGAUGGGGGGACGGAUCGCGGAAGGUUGUCCGGGUGUUGGAAGUCCCGGUCGCUGCAUUGGAGAAGGCGCUUAGGCAAAUCCGGGGCGUAAUUCAAGGGUGUGGCGCGAGCUCCUUAGGGAGCGAAGCAAUUGGAAGUGGUUCCAAGAAAAGCCUCUAAGCUUCAGUCUAACGAUGACCGUACCGCAAACCGACACAGGUGGGCGAGAUGAGUAUUCUAAGGCGCUUGAGAGAACUCGGGAGAAGGAACUCGGCAAAUUGGUACCGUAACUUCGGGAUAAGGUACGCCCUUGUAGCUUGAUGCCCCUGCGGGCAGAGGGUGAAGGGGUUGCAAUAAACUGGUGGCUGCGACUGUUUAAUAAAAACACAGCACUCUGCAAACACGAAAGUGGACGUAUAGGGUGUGACGCCUGCCCGGUGCCGGAAGAUUAAAUGAUGGGGUGCAAGCUCUUGAUUGAAGUCCCGGUAAACGGCGGCCGUAACUAUAACGGUCCUAAGGUAGCGAAAUUCCUUGUCGGGUAAGUUCCGACCUGCACGAAUGGCGUAACGAUGGCCACACUGUCUCCUCCCGAGACUCAGCGAAGUUGAAGUGUUUGUGAUGAUGCAAUCUACCCGCGGCUAGACGGAAAGACCCCAUGAACCUUUACUGUAGCUUUGCAUUGGACUUUGAACCGAUCUGUGUAGGAUAGGUGGGAGGCUAUGAAACCGGAACGCUAGUUUCGGUGGAGCCGUCCUUGAAAUACCACCCUGGUUUGUUUGAGGUUCUAACCUUGGCCCGUGAUCCGGGUCGGGGACAGUGCAUGGUAGGCAGUUUGACUGGGGCGGUCUCCUCCCAAAGCGUAACGGAGGAGUACGAAGGUACGCUAGGUACGGUCGGAAAUCGUGCUGAUAGUGCAAUGGCAUAAGCGUGCUUAACUGCGAGACCGACAAGUCGAGCAGGUGCGAAAGCAGGUCAUAGUGAUCCGGUGGUUCUGUAUGGAAGGGCCAUCGCUCAACGGAUAAAAGGUACUCUGGGGAUAACAGGCUGAUACCGCCCAAGAGUUCAUAUCGACGGCGGUGUUUGGCACCUCGAUGUCGGCUCAUCUCAUCCUGGGGCUGUAGCCGGUCCCAAGGGUAUGGCUGUUCGCCAUUUAAAGAGGUACGUGAGCUGGGUUUAAAACGUCGUGAGACAGUUUGGUCCCUAUCUGCCGUGGGCGUUGGAUAUUUGAAGGGGGCUGCUCCUAGUACGAGAGGACCGGAGUGGACGAACCUCUGGUGUACCGGUUGUCACGCCAGUGGCAUCGCCGGGUAGCUAUGUUCGGAAGAGAUAACCGCUGAAAGCAUCUAAGCGGGAAACUCGCCUUAAGAUGAGAUAUCCCUGGGGACUAGAUCCCCUUGAAGGGUCGUUCGAGACCAGGACGUUGAUAGGUCAGGUGUGUAAGCGCAGUAAUGCGUUCAGCUAACUGAUACUAAUUGCCCGUAAGGCUUGAUCCU
RNAcentral lists this ribosomal RNA (2880 nucleotides) under Burkholderia cepacia. RNAcentral's name for it is "23S ribosomal RNA". It matches the Rfam family "Bacterial large subunit ribosomal RNA". The record is from RNAcentral. Lineage: Bacteria; Pseudomonadati; Pseudomonadota; Betaproteobacteria; Burkholderiales; Burkholderiaceae.